This 380-nucleotide ribosomal RNA is filed under the name uncultured eukaryote. RNAcentral's name for it is "partial 18S ribosomal RNA". It matches the Rfam family "Eukaryotic small subunit ribosomal RNA", at positions 592 to 976 of the family's 1831-position model. The record is from RNAcentral.
CAAUAGCGUAUAUUAAAGUUGUUGCGGUUAAAAAGUUCGUAGUUGGAUUUCUGCCAAGGACGACCGGUCCGCCCUCUGGGUGAGUAUCUGGCUUGGCCUGGGCAUCUUCUUGGAGAACGUUGCUGCACUUCGCUGUGUGGCGCGGUAUCCAGGACCUUUACUUUGAGGAAAUUAGAGUGUUUCAAGCAGGCUUUCGCCUUGAAUACAUUAGCAUGGAAUAAUAAGAUAGGACCUCGGUUCUAUUUUGUUGGUUUCUAGAGCUGGGGUAAUGAUUAAUAGGGAUAGUUGGGGGCAUUCGUAUUUAACUGUCAGAGGUGAAAUUCUUGGAUUUACGAAAGACGAACUACUGCGAAAGCAUUUGCCAAGAAUGUUUUCAUUAA